This 698-nucleotide long non-coding RNA is filed under the name Equus caballus (horse). Its description in RNAcentral is "lncRNA (ENSECAG00000053446.1)". Lineage: Eukaryota; Metazoa; Chordata; Mammalia; Perissodactyla; Equidae. The record is from RNAcentral.
AGCUGGAAAAGGAACUGAGAGAAGGGGAGUGACAGAAAGAAGUCCAGACAAGAACACGAGUUCUGGGUCCCUGGCCUUACACAGCGCUCACCCCAGGCCCUGCUGGCCCAGCACACAGCAGGUGAGGCUUGGGAAAACUCUUCCAGCCUUCUCUGAUCGGCCCACUUCCGCCCCUCUGGAGCCUGGGAGCCCUGCCCUCUGGAAUAACCCAGCUCCACGUCUCCUAGAGCCGGACCUUGCCUAGUCAGAGCACUGCGGUGGCAACAACCCACUGAGGCACUGAAUUAAACAAAAAAGGGUUGAGGUUAUGAAAGGAGAGGUUCCAGCUAGAGUUCAAGAAAGUUUUCCAGACCUGCCUGCAGAGAAUUAAACGCAGACACUGUGAAGUUUACCACUGUGUUCCUAGUAUUUUGCACUGGGCAUGGCAUACAGUAGACACUCAGAAAAUCUGUGAAUUGAAGAUUAAAUUGCGUCAGAACAUUUCAAGAAGCACUACACAGGAUGCGGCCUACAGGAAGCGCUCAAAGAAGGAAGAAAGAGUAGGCAGUGUGGAAGGAAUGCUGCUGAAGCCGGGGAGAAAACUGAGGCUCAGAGCAGGGAGACGAUUUGCUCAAGGUCACAGAGCGAGAGGUAGCAGGACAGAGACUGAAAUCCAAACGACCACAUUCCUGCUUCGAGACUUCGGCAACGAAAGCAGG